RNAcentral lists this long non-coding RNA (24079 nucleotides) under Gossypium barbadense (sea-island cotton). RNAcentral describes it as "long non-coding RNA (GBAR_LNC012735)". The record is from RNAcentral. Lineage: Eukaryota; Viridiplantae; Streptophyta; Magnoliopsida; Malvales; Malvaceae.
AGAGUUGGAUCAGAUUCAUGAUGUGUGUACAGGCCAAUUUUGGACCCAAUACAACAAAAUAUUAACCCAACCUCAACCCAUUUACAUCAGACCCAAUAACCCCCCAAACCUUAACCCAAAUCAAACCCAUUCCCAAUACAUUACCCAAAUCAUUAAGCCCAUUAUCCAAACCCUACCCAAUCAGCUACCCGGAGCCCAAUGUUACCCACAAGCCCGUUUGCAAUAUUCAUCCCCAACCCACCUAAACCCAAAUCUACCUAUAACCUAAACACUCAACUCCAAGCCCAGAAGCCCAAUUUUAGACAUUAGGGUUUCAGUUUCUGAAACCCUAAACCUGCCUAGCGCCGCAACCACCCCCACCAACCCUCUGACGACCCCAUGCCCUCUAACGUUGCCUCAACAACCGCUCCACCAUCCUCCAUAUUGCACCAUCCCCUGCAUGCAUUAAAAGAGAAUAGACAGCAAGUAAGAAGAGAGCAGUAUAUAAUCAAAACAUACAAUGUAAAAAGGGGGUUCCUUUUUUCGUCAGUUUUGAAAACAAAAAGAAAUAAGAACAAACCAUUUCAAAUAUUAAGCAACAAUAGCAUUUCCCUCAGUACUUAGACACAAAAAAAUAGCAACCAAGCAAAAAGAACAUCUCAGAUCAAAGAAACAGAAACUAAAACCGAAAGGUGAUUAUUUUUUUCCUAUUUCUAUUUCAUUUUUUUAACCUGUUUUAAUCUACCAUACAUAUUAAAAUAUAAUAAGAUAAUAAAAAAAUAACAAAAAAUGAACCUUUUUGAACUUUCGACCACCGUGUACGGUGGCCGGAGCCGGUGCCGGCGUCGACGAGCCUCCAAUGACCGUCCGGUGACCGGUUUCCCCACCGAAAAUCACCCCGUGCUCCCCUCUCCCUCAUUUUUUUUUCUUUUCCCUGUCCAAAUGUUUUUUUUUUCAGAUUUUUAGGCUAUUUAUAGCCUACCAAAACGGCACCGUUUUGGUACCAAAAUGGCACCGUUUUGGUGCCCAAACUUAGACUAAAAAAUGACGUCGUUUUACUUGGCCCGACCCGAUUCGACCCGAACCCGCUUCAGGAUCCGCGUGUUUUUAACUCAAUGGGAUAUUUGUGCAAUCGGUCCUUCCGCAUUUUUGUGUUUUAAAUCAAGUUUAUAUUUAUUUAUAAAUCGGCCCUAAAAUUUAAUCUGAUUUGCGAUCUAGUCCCUCCGUGCUGCACAGCGUUUUGGUGAAAGGGAAUAUUUGCUGUUUUAACCCUCCUAAGUUAUGCGCGCGUGGCAUUUUGGUCCUUCCCUGCUAUUUUAUUUCUAAUUUCGCCCCAAAAUGUUGUUUUAAGUUCAAUUUAGUCCUUUGGUUAAUUUACUGCUUUAUUUUUAAUUUACUUGUUUUCAUUUUCUGUAUUUUAUUUGUUAUAAUAUUUAUAUUUGUUAUAUUAAAUGUAUUUAUUAUAUGUCUUUUAAAUAUUAUGUUAUAUAUAUGUAUUUUCAAUAUUGUUGUUAUAUUUAUUAUUAUUAUAUAUAUUUGUUCUAGUAUAUAUGUAUAUAUUUACACGUAUAGGUUUAUUUUUAUUUCAAUAUCUUUAUUAUAUUUGUUUUUGGUAUUUUAAUAAUAUUGUUAUAUUAUUAUAAUAGUGUAUACUUUUAUUUAUGUACAUAGAUUUAUAUAUAUGAUGUAUUUUUGUUAUAUUAUAUUGUAUUUUAAUAUCGUUACUAUUAUAAUUGCUAACAUAGUGAAUGCCUUGUUAUAUAUGUAUAUGUUUUUAUGUCAUCAUUGUUGAUUAUCAUUAACUUUAAUAUGUGUCUCAUUAUAUGUCCUUAAAUAUACAUAUAGAUAUAUAUACAUGCAAUAUUAUAAUAGUUUUCUUUGACAUCAUUAUCUCCAAUAUAUGUAUAUGUUAUGUAAAUAUUUUAAUGUCAUAUUAUAUAUACAUUUUUACACUAUGCAUACAUACUUUUAACAUUAUAUUUUAUAUGUAUACUCUUAACAUCAUAUUAUAUAUAUAUCUUGCACAAAAUUUUUAAUACUUUACUAUAUAUACCUUUAUAUAUUAUAUAUAUAUUUUAGUAUUAUGUUUUUAUAUCUAUGUUUUAAUACCAUACUAUAUAUAUUAUUAUAUUUUAUUACAUAAUUAGUACCCAUGUUUUAUUAUACAUAUAUAUAUACUCUUUUAUUUGUGUUAUUUCCGUAUGUCAUAUUAUUCAUUUUUAUACUCAUUAUUUUCAUUAUUGUCACUUAUAUAUUAUUAUUUGGUGUACAUACAUCUUUUAUUAUUAUUAGUAUAUAAAUGUAUUUUCCUUGUCUAUAUUGUUCCUAAUAUAUAUUGCACAUGUUCAUUUAUACUAUGUGUACAUGUAUCUAGUAUAUAUAUAUUUAGUAUUAUUACACAUAUAUCUUUUAGGGAUUAUACUUUCAUGCGUCAUGUAUAUAUGUCAUGUAUUAUAUUUUUGCAUAUUAUCUUAUGUACAUAUUAUCUUAUAUUAUUAUUACUAAGUGUAUUUUAUAUUUGUUCAUGACUUGUUUUUUUAUUAUUAUUUCUUUUGUAAAUAUCAUUGUUAUUGUUUUUCUAAUGCUCUAGUGUUCAUGUUAAUAUUUUUCAUUAAUAAUGUCAUUAUUUGCAUCGUUGAUUUACUUAAAAUUCUCACUUUAUAAAUAUCUUUCCCAUGUUUUAAUCAAUUUCAAUAAUCAAGGCAAUGUAUCGAUUUAACAUUAAGUCGUAAGUUUCAUCACUAUGUUGGAUGAAAUUUAUCAGCUCGUGUUAAAAUGGUAUACCCUUCUCAAAAACUAAAAAAACUAAAACUAAAACUUCUCGUCUUUGCAAUCGGAUCACGACUAAAUGUUGCAUUGAAUUCGUAUUUUUGAAAAUCAAGACAACACAUGUUUAUACGAUACCAGUUUUGGGCAUCGCGAGGGUGCUAAUACCUUCCUCGCGCGUAACCGACUCCCGAACCUUAAUUUUUCUCUGGAUUUUAACGUAGACCUAAACUGAGCCUUCUUUUGUUUAAAAAAUAGAUCUAAUAGGUGUCCGAUCACACCUAUAAAAAAUGGAUUGGUGGCGACUCCUUGUUUAUUCUAAAAUAAAAUUUUAGUUUCCAAGUUUUCAAUAGAUCGCCACAAUUAGCACCCCAAACUAAAAAUUUUUACGUCGCUACAGCUAGCGACUCCACUGGGGACCCUCAUUUUUGAGAGUCGAGUCGAAUUAAACGCGUGUUGUCAAAAUUUUCAAAAUUCCUUGUUCAAAUUAAUAUUUAGUCGUGAUCCUAAAAUUGUGUUUUUGAAAAGUCAUGCAUUUGCAUCGUGUUGUAUAUAUUCUUCUAACUUGUUUUGUCUGGUUGUUUUAAAGCUUUAAAUUCUUAUGGUUUUAGUUUUGGUUUAGUUUUUAAAUAAAACAUAAAGGUUUGUGAGUUUCUCCCUACACACUGUGCACGUGCAUUCUUGCAUAACAUGAGCUCUAUACCCGGGCUCCAUCCAUUUAAGUGAAAGUAAACGCUAUGCCUUCGUGAGUUAACUCAUCCCUCCGCACAGGCUAGUGAAUACUUUCGGGUUACAUAUGACUUAUGCUUUCGUGAGUUAACUUGUCCCUCCGCAUAGGCAUAAGUAAAUCUAAUCCCUCGAAUUGAACUCGUGAGCCUGUGAUGGGCUACGACCGAGGCUUCGAACUAAUCUUAGUAGAUGACAGUACGGACAAUUCGAGUGCCUAUCUAGAACCGAAACCGCAUAUAGUGAACCGUACGAGCCACCUAACUAGAGCCAUGCCGAACCUCCGUCCGUUAAUGGUCACCAAAAUUAGUACAUGGGAGAAACGCCUCUUGUCUCUCAUUUUCUUUACAAGUACACUGUUUAUGCAAAAGAACUGAAUCGGGUAGCUUAAUUUGUUUCUCAAUUUAUAAUUGUUGUGGUUACUAACCAAGUUUGCUUGUUUUUAUUUUUAUUUUACAUCAUGCAUUAUAGGCAUCAUAUUAGAAAGGUGUUGACUAGAGAUUUGGUUGCCAAAAAAUGGGUUUCUAAUGGAAGAGUUAAUUAUACAAACAACCGAGAAGAAUGCCGUGGUUCGGGACUGGUCUCUAAAAACUCAGAAAGAAAAAGGGGAUAGUCUAGUGGAGGGAUGUAUUGCCAAUCUGCCCGAGCACGUAACUGUUAAUGUUCGCCAGAAUAACCUUGAAGAUUUGGUUCGGGUUUGGAAUCAGUGGGACUUGGACACUAGGGUUAUUUUCACCGAGAGAUAUGGAGACAUAGCCAAUUUGAUUGCUAUCAACGUAGACGAACGAUUGAUCCAAGCCAUGGUCAGAUUUUAGGAUCCGGCUUACCAAUGUUUUACCUUCAAUCGAGAAGAUAUGACUCUAACUAUAGAAGAGUAUGUUGCUUUACUUCGUGUUGAAAAUGCACAAUUCCAUAAAGUUUAUGUGAAGGAGCCUAAGCCAAUGACCUUCAAGAAAAAGUUAGUGAGAUUGACAGACAUGACUGACGCAUGGGCUGAAAAAUAGAUAAAGAAGAAGAAUGAAACCAUUUGCAUCCCAUGGACUUUCCUAUGAGAUUUGGUUUUGAACUGUCCCGACAUGUUGAAAAGAGUAAAUCUAUUUGCUUUGGCCAUUUACGGUUUGAUCAUCUUCCCGAAAGUCCUUGGACACAGAAGUUACGAUGGUGGAUUUCUUCGAAAGACUAAAACAAGGAAUCAACCCUGUCCCAACUAUCUUGGCCGAGACCUUUAGAUCCUUAAACAAUUGUAGGAAAAUGGGGAAAGAACGCUUUAUCGGAUGCGCGCAGUUACUAAAUGUCUGGAUUUUGAGCCAUUUUUGGAAAGUAGAGCGCACACCGUACCACAUGUUUUCAAAAGCUUUCGCCUCGUUGGAAGCCUAUAUUGAGAGAGAAUAGCCAAAGGAUGUCACUGAAGAACAAUGGCUUUCAGUUUUUCAAAACCUUCGAGCUAAAGAUGUAACCUGAAGAGCACCGUGGAUUCGCCCUUCGGUUCUAUUAUACAAGGUUGGAAAUCAAGAUUAUUAUGGGGAGGAGUUGGGUAUGCCACGCUAUUAGUCCAAAGGUAAUUUUCUUCGCGACAAUUCAUACCCGCCACUGGAGGAUUAGCACAGUCCGAGUUUGCUUUUGCGGGUGAAGGGUAUAUGAAGAGGGUCCGAGAUACUGCAAAGUCUUGGAAGAAAAUUCAUCUCAUGGAAUUAGCUCUAUAUGCUGAUACCCUCACCCAAGAUUACGACAUCUGGAAGAAACAAUGGGUGAAUAGUCAGCAAAUCUCGUCAACGAACUACACCGUCCAAAAUCCUUUCUCGGAAGAAAUGCCAUCUGAGCUAGAAAUAGCAAGACAAGAAUUUGAACGAGAAAAGGCCAAGAUGUCUCGGGACCUUAGUGCUCUUCAAGAGGAAAACUACCAAUUGACGAUCGACGUUUAGAUUGAAAGAUCUAGAACCGAGAAAGUGCAAAAAGAAGUUGAAGUCAUGAGAAAUGACUUAAGGGACCUCCAUCUAGAAAAUAAAAAGUUAAGAGGCAUAAUAAAAAAUAGUGGGCUGGGCAAGUCGUCGGCAGAAUGGAAAGAAGAAAUAAGCAACAUUAAAGGUGGGAUGGAAUUUUGAAAAAGAAAAGAGAAGAAAGAGGAGGAAAAGGCUGCACAGGCUAUGAUAGAACUGAGGAAGAAGAACGCCGAAUAUGAAGCUGUGUCUGCCGAGGUAAUGACUAGUCGAUCUAAAUGUCAAGAACUAAAAGAGAGGAUACGAGAGUUAGAAGAUAUACUGCAAGAUCAUCAACAACAGCUAGAUACUCUCUUGAAAGCUUUGGAAGAAAAGAAUAGCCAAUAUGAUAGAGACAUUCGUGCUUACGAAGAGGGCCUCCAAGAAAAAGAAAUACAACUUAGCUUUUUGAUAAAUGAAAUUCGUGGGGUAGCCAUGCACGUGGUACAACUAUCAGAAGCAGAUGAAAUUCUCAUUUGCCAGUUCCCACCAAGUCGAAGAUAGAACAUAUCAGAAUUUUUAGCACGAGUAAAGAAAUACGGCAAUAUAGCUAGGAAGUUUGUGUAAUGGCUGAAUCAAAAAUGGCAAAAUGUUUUGUAAUGAACUCUUUUGAUGAAUGAAAUGCCUAAAUAGGGGCUAUCUUGAAAUCAACACCAAUUUCUUGCAUUUCCUUCAUGAUUGGCAUUCAUUUAUGCAUUCAUUCAUUGCAUAUCCCAUAAUCAUUCGCUAAGGUUAAAAUAUACAAUUCGUAGUUGUAAUACCACAAGCCUGGAACCACGUCAUUUGUAUAGAACGCGUCGACAAACUAGGGCAAUGGAGGCUGAAUUCAAUGAAAGAAUCGAAAGAAUGGAAAGAGUCCAAAGGGAAUUACAAGAGCAGUUGGCCAAGUCGCAACAAGAGACAAGAGAUUUAAUGGUGAUAUCUCAAGAAGAAUCACUCGAACAGAAGGAUCAAAUGGCCAAGAUGAUGGAAAUGAUGUCAGCUUUAGUUAAGGGAAAGGGACCCAUGCAGAGCCCUGGCAUCGAGAAACCUCAAUCAAGAGUUAAUCACAGUCAAGAUCCGCUUUAUCCCCCAGGAUUCACUCCGCCGCACGCCCAUGCAACACAAAGAGGGUACACCCAAAGGGAACCCACAGACAUGGAGCAACGGGCGGUGCCACCUGCUCACGUAGGACAAAGAAUGUUUAUAUCAAACCCAGGGGCUAGUCCUGCUGAUCCACUCGUUCUAGAUUUGGACGAUCCAGCAGAAAUAGCGAAGUUGAAUAUCGGUGAUCACGAGGUUCAAGAGAAGUAUAGGAGCUUAGAGGAAAGACUUAAAGCAAUAGAGGGUACUGAAGCCUUCUCUACACUGAGUGCCAAAGAGCUCAGUUUGGUACCCGAUCUGGUUCUGCCUCCAAAAUUUAAAGUACUAGAUUUCAAAAAAUACGAUGGCACGAGAUGUCCAAAGGCGCAUCUUGUCAUGUUUUGCCAGAAAAUGACUGGUUACGUGAAUCAAGACAAGCUACUCAUACAUUGUUUUCAGGAUAGUCUCGUAGGAUCGGCUCUUCGGUGGUACAACCAGCUUAGUAGGGAAAAGAUCCAAUCCUGGAAGGACUUGGCGUCAGCCUGCUGUGAGCAGUAUAAGCAUGUAUUGGAUAUGGUGCCUGAUCGAAUGACCCUACAAAUGAUGGAAAAGAAACCAGUAGAAACCUUUAGACAGUAUGCACAAAGGUGGAGAGAUGCCUCGGCCUAAGUAGAGCCUCCACUGACUAAGACUGAGUUAACAGUCCUUUUCAUCAAUACUCUGAGAGCACCAUUCUAUGACAAGCUAGUGAGAAGUGCCACGAAGGACUUUGCGGAUAUUGUAAUAUCUGGUGAGCUUAUAGAGAAUGCCAUCAAGAGCAGUAGAAUGGAGGGUCAAAAAAGUUCAAGAAAGGUAGCGCACAUGAAGAAGAAAGAACCAGAAGCCCAUAUGGUGGGAAUGGGAAGCCGUUAUACCCUUAAUCCAUAUCCAAACCAACCCCGACCUCGAAAUUAUCCUCCCCCAAAUUUCUAUUAUCCUCCUCAGACCCCUUACUACCAAGCACCACCUCCUUCCUACCCUGUAUAAGCCAUGAACAACCAAAGGCCCGUCACUACAUUCCCACAAAACAUUCUACCCACUCAAAACCAACCCAGAAAUGAACCAAGACCAACAAGACCCAAUCCCAAGAGUCCGCAAUUCACCCCUAUUCCUGUGUCGUAUGGGGAACUGUACCCAAAACUCUUGGAGAAGCAAUUAAUAUCUUCCCAUUACAUGGCACCCCUAAAACCUCCAUACCCGAAAUGGUACGAUCCAAAUGCUGGUUGUGCAUACCAUGCCGGGAACUAGGGGCACUCUACGAAAAACUACUUGGCCUUCAAAAAGAGAGUUCAAUGACUCAUCGAUGCGGGUAUUCUGCGAUUUGAUGGCACUAGCGGUACAUCCGGGAACCCAUUCCCAAACCACGCCGAAGGGAAUGUGAGCGUAGUGGGAGAGGAGGACAAACGACAAAGUAGAAUAUGGGUUUUUGAAAUAAGAACACCUCUGCAGAAAAUCUGGGAGGUGCUAGUUGAAAAGGGGUUGCUCUGUCAUCUUAACAGAGUAUUCAAGGGAAGAAAUACAAAAGAUCAAAGUUUUUGCGAAUUCCAUGGUAUUGAGGGGCACGACAUUCAAUCCUGCGAAGAGUUCAGGAGAUUACUGCAAAAUAUGAUGGACAAUAAGGAGAUUGGGAUUUUUUAUAAAGGCGAAGAGGCCGAUAGAGGAGAAAUAUGCGCCUCUGACCAUCAAUCGUCAGGUUUCCCGUAUAGCACCGACCGACCAUUAAUAAUUUAUUAUGACGCAAAGAAAGAGCCAGUGAAACCAAAAGUGAUAAUCGAGGUACCAUCUCCUUUCCCCUACAAGGACAAUAAAGCAGUACCAUGGAAAUAUGACGUCAAUAUCGUCACACCUGAAGAUGAAAAACCCAAAGCCAUGACUGGAAGUGUUGGGGAAGUAGGUCAUUUCACUCGUAGUGGAAGAUGUUAUUCCAAAGAGAUUGAGCCAGUGAAGAAGAAUAGUGACUUGAAACAGAAAGGAAAAGCACUGAUGCACGUGACCGAAGAUGAGCAUGAAACUGUGCCUGAACAAGAAGCUAAAAAGCCUGUGGACGAGGAGGAAGCACAGGAAUUCUUAAAAUUUAUCAAGCACAAUGAGUACAACGUGGUAGAACAAUUGCGUAAACAGCCAGCGCGAAUCUCGGUAUUAUCUCUACUGUUGAAUUUGAAACCUCACUGCAACGCCUUGUUAAAGGUGUUGAAUCAAGCUUACGUGGCAAACAAUAUAUCCGUUGAAAAACUGGAUAGGUGGGUGAACAACUUGAAUACGGAUAAUUUCAUUUCUUUUAGUGAUGAUGAAAUACUGCCCAAUGGUAGAGGCUCAGUGAAAGCAUUGCAUAUCACAACCCGUUGUAAGGGCUAUAUAAUAUCGAACGUGCUCAUCGACAAUGGAUCGGCACUCAAUGUCAUGCCUUUGGCCACACUUUCUAGGAUUCCGAUGGAUUUGUCCUAUCUAAGGCCCUGCCAUUCUACAGUAAGGGCAUUUAAUGGAAUAAGACGAGAAGUCAUGGGAAAAAACGAGAUCCCUCUAGAAGUGGGUCCCUAUAUAUAUGAUGUUGAGUUUCAAGUCAUGGACAUUACACCAUUACAAUUGUCUCUUGGGAAGACCUUGGAUCCAUUCUGCUGGAGCAGUCCCAUCAUCCCUUCAUCAAAAGGUGAAAUUCAUCAUGGAUGGCUGUUUGGUCACCGUCGAGGGAGAAGAAGAUAUUGUAGCAUCUAUUUUUACCGACGCACCAUACAUUGAAGUGAGUAAAGAUGCUUUAGAAUGUUCCUUCCGAUCCCUUAAAUUUGUCAAUGCCACAUUCGUCGCUGAGGGAAACAGAAUUCCCGCGCCAAAAUUGUCAAGAAAUACCAGGAUGGGUGUCAAACUGACUGUAGGAAGGGGAGCUUGAGUGAGAAAAGGUUUAGGGAGAUAUUUGUAAGGAAUAGUCAGGGCUCUAAAGCCAGUGCACCACAAGGCCCGAUACGGUUUGGGGUUCUAGCCGGAAAUGCGUCAAAGACAAAAAUAGUGGAAGAAGGAUCAGGAGAGAAGAAUUGCGAGAACUUUGGGCCGAGAAAUAGAAUGGGAGCCCAUAACAUACCCUCCUUUGUUAAAAACAUUUACAUUUGCGGGAAUGAUAUACCCCGGACAGGUUAAUAUACAAAGCACGCUGUUAUUAAUUGAAAGGGGUCUUCAGAAUGUUAGUAUAAAUGUCAUUGACAAAGGAAGUGAGGCUAUUAAAGAUGUUUCAACGAUACGCCCUUAUCCUCCUGGUUUCAUGUUGAACAAUUGGACUACUGAGGACCUUCUUGUAGUUUAUAAGUCUUCAGAGUAAUGCUCAAACAUUAACCCUAUAUUGUGUCCUUAGAUAUAAUAGAAUUCUUUUGUAAGAGCUUGCAUUCACUCUUUAUCAUUUAAAUGAAUAUCAAUGAAGAUGCAUUUUGUCACGAUCUUUCGCAUUAUCACUAAUUUCAUAAUCAUCUCCUCAUUUCAUAGCCUAUCUAUACAUUUGCCUCAUACCAUGCCAUAACAUUUCGUUUGUUGGUCCAAUACUUGGAUGCCCCUCUAUAGUUUCCUUUUCCAUUCAACUUUCAGGUGCUCGGAUAUCAACAGCAUGAACAAACCCGUUACGAGUCCUAAAAUCGAUUUUGAGAAGACUGUUUGUUUAGGAGAAUUUGAAGUCGAAGAAAAUGCUGAAGACUAUGUCUCGUCUCCUGACUUGCUAAGAAUGGUGGAACAAGAGGAUAAACAAAUUUUACCUCAUCAAGAAUCUGUUGAAACAAUAAAUUUGGGAACUGAAGAAAAGAAACAAGAAGUGAAAAUUGAGACUUCUAUUUCAGAGGACACCAAGCAUAAUUUGAUUGCUUUGCUCCGCGAGUACAAAGAUGUAUUCGCCUGGUCAUAUCAAGACAUGCCAGGAUUGGAGAAGAUGUAGUGGUCCAUAAGCUCCCAUUAAAGCCAGAAUGCAAACCCGUUCAACAAAAGUUAAGACGGAUGAGACCCAAAAUGUUGUUGAAAAUAAAAGAGGAAGUCAAGAAGCAAUUUGAUGAUGGCUUCCUACAAGCAUCCAAAUAUCCAGAAUGGGUGGCUAAUAUAGUCCCGGUACCAAAGAAAGACGGCAAAGUACGAAUGUGCGUGGAUUAUCGUGACCUAAAUCGAGCAAGUCCCAAAGAUAAUUUUCCCUUACCACACAUUGAUACGUUGGUGGAUAACACAGCAAAGCACUCUUUGUUUUCUUUCAUGGAUGGAUUCUCGGGGUAUAAUCAGAUCAAGAUGGCCCCUGAAGAUAUGGAGAAAACUACUUUUGUAACAAUGUGGGGAACAUUCUGCUACAAGGUGAUGCCAUUUGGGUUAAAGAAUACUGGGGUAACAUAUCAGAGGGCUAUGGUAACAUUAUUCCAUGACAUGAUGCAUAAAGAAAUAGAGGUCUACGUCGAUGAUAUGAUUGCUAAGUCCCGAGGGGAAGAAGAGCAUGUAGCGAACCUAAAGAAGUUGUUCGACAUUCUGAGAAAGUUCCAGCUAAAGCUCAAUCCGGCCAAAUGUAUGUUUGGGGGUACCUUAGGAAAAUUGCUUGGCUUCAUUGUCAGUGAGAGAGGCAUUGAAAUUGAUCCAGAUAAAAUAAAAGCCAUUCAAGAGUUACCACCCCCGCGCACGCAAAAGGAAGUCAGAGGAUUUUUAAGGAGAUUAAACUACAUCGCCCGAUUUAUCGCUCAACUUACCAACCAAUGCGACCCAAUCUUUCGACUCCUUCGAAAACAUAAUCCUGGAGAAUGGAACGAGGAGUGUCAAGUGGCUUUUGACAAGAUAAAACAGUAUUUGUCUAAUCCUCCAGUGCUAGUACCACCAAUGCUGGGAAGACCAUUGAUAUUGUAUUUGACUGUGUUCGAGAAUUCAAUGGGUUGCGUACUGGGGCAACAUGACGAGUCAGGAAAGAAAGAAAAGGCGAUCUACUACCUCAGCAAAAAGUUUACUGAAUAUGAGGCAAAGUAUUCAUCCGUAGAAAAAUACUGCUGUGCUCUGGUUUGGGUAGCUCGGAGACUCAGGCAAUAUAUGCUGUAUCAUACGACAUGGCUAAUUUCAAAGUUGGACCCAAUAAAGUACAUGAUGGAAUCACCCGCACUCUUAGGAAGAAUGGCACGAUGACAGAUCUUACUAUCAGAAUAUGACAUCGUCUAUGUGAGCCAAAAGUCGAUAAAAGGGAGUGCAAUAGCUGACUUCUUAGCAACUCGAACAACGGAGGAAUACGAGCCAUUGAAAUUUGAUUUCCCAGAUGAAGACUUAAUGUGCAUUAUAGAAAAAGAAUGUGAGUCAUCAAAAGAAAAGUCAUGGAAGAUGAGCUUUGAUGGUGCAUCAAAUGCAUUGGGGCAUGGGAUUGGAGCAGUCUUAGUAUCACCAGAAGGGAACCAUUAUCCGUUCACUGCCAGGCUGAAUUUCUUCUGUACCAAUAACAUAGCGAAAUAUGAAGCCUGUAUCAUGGGACUUCGUGCAGCAAUUGAACGAAACAUCCAAACUUUAGAGGUAUACGGAGACUUAGCAUUGGUGAUUUAUCAGAUCCGUGGAGAUUGGGAAGUGGGGGAUUUAAAAUUAGUCAAAUACAGUGAUCUCGUGGCAGGGUUGAUUAAAGAAUUCAAAGAAAUAACUUUUAAUUACUUCCCACGAGAAGAAAACCAGUUAGCUGAUACCCUGGCCACUUUGGCUUCAAUGUUUAAAGUAAACAGAGAAACAGAAAUAAUGCCUCUUCAAAUGAGCAUAUAUGAAGUCCCUGCACAUUGUUUCAGCAUUGAGAAAGAGCCAGAUGGGCAACCAUGGUUCCAUGAUAUCUUAGAAUACAUCAAGAAUCAAAGGUAUCCCGAACAAGCAAAUGUGAACGACAGAAGAACAAUCAGAAGAAUGGCAGCGAGAUUUAUUCUUGAUGGAGACAUCCUAUACAAAAGAGGAAAAGAUCAGGUGCUCUUGAGAUGCGUGGAUGCUGUAGAAGCCAGAAAAAUACUUGAAGAUGUCCAUGAAGGAAUUUGUGAGACACACGCUAAUGGUUUCACUAUGGCCAGGAAAAUUAUGAGACUCGGUUAUUACUGACUGACGAUGGAAAGUGACUGCAUUAGUUUCACACGGAAAUGCCACAAAUGUCAAAUUUAUGGUGAUAAAAUUCAUGUAGCUCCUUCGCCCCUUCAUGUCAUGGCUUCUCCGUGGCCUUUUCUUAUGUGGGGCAUGGAUGUUAUAGGGCCAAUCUCUCUAAAAGCUUCUAAUGGACACCGGUUCAUUUUUGUGGUCAUUGAUUACUUUACAAAAUGGAUAGAAGCUGCUUCAUUUGCCAAUGUGACGAAGGCUACAGUUUGUAGGCUUUUGAAAAAGGAAAUCAUUUGUCGAUAUGGUUUGCCUGAAAGAAUCAUUUCAGAUAACGCCAUGAAUCUGAACAAUAAGAUGAUGAAUGAGGUGUGUGAACAAUUCCAAAUAAAGUAUCAUAACUCAUCACCCUAUCGCCCGAAAAUGAACGGAGCUGUUGAAGCGGCCAACAAGAAUAUUAAGAUGAUUAUUGGGAAAAUGAUCGAGACAUAUAAAGACUGGCACGAGAAGCUACCAUUUGCUUUGUAUGCAUAUUGUACAUAUGUGCGAACAUCUAUGGGAGCAACUCCUUUCUCUCUGGUCUAUGGCAUGGAAGCUGUGCAACCCAUCGAAGUUGAGAUCUCCUCUCUACGAGUCUUAAUGGAAUCAAAACUAGAAGAAAAAGAAUGGGUUCGAGCUCGAUAUGACCAGUUAAACCUUAUUGAAGAAAAACGUAUGAAGGCAAUCUGCGAUGGACAGAUGUACUAGAAGAGAAUGAUCGCAGCCCAUGAUAAGAAAGUACGGCCAAGAGAAUUCCACGAAGAAGGACUCGUGCUGAGAAAGAUUCUCCCAAUACAAAAAGACUUCCGAGGAAAGUGGGCACCAAAUUGGGAAGGACCAUACGUCGUAAAGAAGGCAUUCUCAGGUGGAGCUUUGAUUCUCACCGAGAUGGAUGGGAAGGAGUUACCGAAUCCAGUGAAUUCAGAUGCUGUGAAGAAAUAUUAUGCUUGAAAAAAGAAAAUCAAGAUGAAAACCCAAAAGGGCAUCUUAAAAAAAAUAGGAUCAAGGUGAAAAUCUGAAAAAGGGCGUCUUGAUUAACACAAAAGAUUAGGAUGAAAACCCGAAAAGGGCAUCCUAACGAAACAAACACUGGACUUAAAGAGCAAGGCAUUUUGAACAGUGGGUCAAACAGCGAGACUACAGUAUUUGAAGCAUUUUUGAAAGCUCGAAAUCUUCUACGCAAGAAGCCAUGCUCUAAAAGAUUCUAGAUGAAGGAACGUAGAAGAGUUCAUAUGUUGAAUAUCUAGAGCAUUUGUAUCCGUUGAAUGCGAUCCAUUUUCUCUUGAUGACACUUUUUACUAUCAUUGAUUAACUUUCUUUGUUUGCUACAUUUGAAAUAAAUAAAUGUGAGGUAGCCUUUUUGUCCCUACCUAACCAUUUUCAUGCAUCUUAUUAUGUGUUUAUUUACAUGAUAAAUAAUGAAAUGACAUACUCUAAACAAAAGAAAUGUUAAGCAUUACUUGAAUGAAAAUUUGACAAAUACAAGAGCCUCAAAGUAAGGACAAAGUUCAACCAGGAACAAAAGAGUGAUAUCUGAGAAACGUCGAUUACUCGCGAAGCUUGAAGACGGGUACAAAGCUUGAAGAGAAAGUCAAGAGUCAAAGUAAUGAACGUAGAUCAUCAAAAAUCGUGACGAAAAAGGGGCAUACGAUAAACAUGCCUAAGGCGCAUAGCAUAAUCAUGUAGGCAUAAAGGCAUUUAAGAUAAACAUGUGCAUAUCAUGAUGACAUCAUGCAUGACAUAUACAGGUAUUCCAGUAGAGCAAGAGGGUGUGGUGAUAGUUGUACUGAAUCAAAGGAAAAGACAUUUGAUUUCUACCAAUGACAGGUUUUGGUAUUUUGAUGUUUUAAUUCAUGUUUUCAAAAAUCAACUCAUAUUGCGAGAGGAGAGUUCAGCCUUUUAAUUUCUGUUUUUAAUUUAUACUUUUCAAAAAUCAACUCAUAUUGCGAGAGGUGAGUUGAACCUCGGGGCACGCUGAGGUAAUUUUAAUUUCUGUUUUUCAAAAAAAUCAACUCACAUUGCGAGAUAUGAGUUGAACCUCGGUUCACAUGUUCUGUUCUUUCAAUUUAUGUUUCAAAAGAAUCAGCUCAUAUUGCGAGAGGUGAGUUGAGCCUCAAGACACGCUGAGGUAAUUUCAAUUUCUGUUUCUGCUUUUCAAAAAUCAACUCAUAUUGCGAGAGGUGAGUUGAGCCUCAGGACACGCUGAGGUAUUUUCAAUUUCUAUUCUUCCAAUUUCUGUUUUAAUUCAUGUUUCCAAAAUCAACUCAUAUUGCGAGAGGUGAGUUGAGCCUCGGGGCACGCUGAGGUAAUUUCAAUUUCUAUUUUCCAUUUCUGUUUUUCAAAAAUCAACUCAUAUUGCGAGAAGUGAGUUGAGCCUUUUAAUUUCUGUUUUUCAAAAAGUCAACUCAUAUUGCGAGAGGUGAGUUGAGCCUUUUAAUUUUUGUUUUUCAAAAAGUCAACACAUAUUGCAAGAGGUGAGUUGAGCCUUUUAAUUUUUGUUUUUCAAAAAGUCAACACAUAUUGCAAGAGGUGAGUUAAGCCUUUUAAUUUCUGUUUUUCAAAAAGUCAACUCAUAUUGCGAGAGGUGAGUUGAGCCUUUUAAUAUCUAUUUUUAAAGAGUCAAUUCAUAUUGCGAGAAAUGAGUUGAGCUCAAGAUCACAUGCCGAGCAAGAAUAAAGAUUGAAGCUGAUGAAAGACACCAUUUGGCCUCCUUGAAGUUGCAGUAAAGUAGGUCAAAGUUACAAGUCUCGUCCCCCUGAAGUUGCAGUAGAGCUGAUCGAAGAUAUCAAAGCUUGCCUUUUUAGAGUUACAGAAGAGAAGAUCACAAACCCUAUCUCACUGAAGCGAUAGAAGAGCAGAUUGAAGCUGUAGACCUCAUCUUUCUGAAGCUGCAUGGAAGCAGAUCAAAGCUACAAAUCUCAUAUCUUUGAAGUUACAUUGAAGUAGAUUGAAGCUACAAAGCAUAUAUCAGAAGAUGCAAUGGACCAAAGCUACAAGAUACGAUGGACUGGAAGAAGACUAUUUGAACAAGAAGAACACCAAUGAAGUCAAGACUCAGCAAGACUAGGCAAAAUUGACCUUUCAUUAUGUCUUUGCUCCAUUCCCGUUGCACGACAAUGAGCAAAGAGGGGCAGCUGUACAGGCCAAUUUUGGACCCAAUACAACAAAACAUUAACCCAACCUCAACUCAUUUACAUCAGACCCAAUAACCCCCAAACCUUAACCCAAAUCAAACCCAUUCCCAAUACAUUACCCAAAUCAUUAAGCCCAUUAUCCAAACCCUACCCAAUCAGCUACCCGGAGCCCAAUGUUACCCACAAGCCCGUUUGCAAUAUUCAGCCCCAACCCACCUAAACCCAAAUCUACCUAUAACCUAAACACUCAACCCCAAGCCCAGAAGCCCAAUUUUAGACAUUAAGGUUUCAGUUUCUGAAACCCUAAACCUGCCUAGCGCCGCACCACCCCCACCAACCCUCUGACGGCCCCAUGCCCUCUGACGUUGCCUCAACAACCGCUCCACCGUCCUCCAUAUUGCACCAUCCCCUGCAAGCAUUAAAAGAGAAUAGACAGCAAGCAAGAAGAGAGCAGUAUAUAAUCAAAACAUACAAUGUAAAAAGGGGGUUCCUUUUUUCGUCAGUUUUGAAAACAAAAAGAAAUAAGAACAAACCAUUUUAAAUAUUAAGCAACAAUAGCAUUUCCCUCAGUACUUAGACACAAAAAAAUAGCAACCAAGCAAAAAGAACAUCUCAGAUCAAAGAAACAGAAACUAAAACCGAAAGGUGAUUAUUUUUUUCCUAUUUCUAUUUCAUUUUUUUAACCUGUUUUAAUCUACCAUACAUAUUAAAAUAUAAUAAGAUAAUAAAAAAAUAACAAAAAAUGAACCUUUUUGAACUUUCGACCACCGUGUACGGUGGCCGGAGCCGGUGCCGGCGUCGACGAGCCUCCAAUGACCGUCCGGUGACCGGUUUCCCCACCGAAAAUCACCCCGUGCUCCCCUCUCCCUCAUUUUUUUUUCUUUUCCCUGUCCAAAUGUUUUUUUUUUCAGAUUUUUAGGCUAUUUAUAGCCUACCAAAACGGCACCGUUUUGGUACCAAAAUGGCACCGUUUUGGUGCCCAAACUUAGACUAAAAAAUGACGUCGUUUUACUUGGCCCGACCCGAUUCGACCCGAACCCGCUUCAGGAUCCGCGUGUUUUUAACUCAAUGGGAUAUUUGUGCAAUCGGUCCUUCCGCAUUUUUGUGUUUUAAAUCAAGUUUAUAUUUAUUUAUAAAUCGGCCCUAAAAUUUAAUCUGAUUUGCGAUCUAGUCCCUCCGUGCUGCACAGCGUUUUGGUGAAAGGGAAUAUUUGCUGUUUUAACCCUCCUAAGUUAUGCGCGCGUGGCAUUUUGGUCCUUCCCUGCUAUUUUAUUUCUAAUUUCGCCCCAAAAUGUUGUUUUAAGUUCAAUUUAGUCCUUUGGUUAAUUUACUGCUUUAUUUUUAAUUUACUUGUUUUCAUUUUCUGUAUUUUAUUUGUUAUAAUAUUUAUAUUUGUUAUAUUAAAUGUAUUUAUUAUAUGUCUUUUAAAUAUUAUGUUAUAUAUAUGUAUUUUCAAUAUUGUUGUUAUAUUUAUUAUUAUUAUAUAUAUUUGUUCUAGUAUAUAUGUAUAUAUUUACACGUAUAGGUUUAUUUUUAUUUCAAUAUCUUUAUUAUAUUUGUUUUUGGUAUUUUAAUAAUAUUGUUAUAUUAUUAUAAUAGUGUAUACUUUUAUUUAUGUACAUAGAUUUAUAUAUAUGAUGUAUUUUUGUUAUAUUAUAUUGUAUUUUAAUAUCGUUACUAUUAUAAUUGCUAACAUAGUGAAUGCCUUGUUAUAUAUGUAUAUGUUUUUAUGUCAUCAUUGUUGAUUAUCAUUAACUUUAAUAUGUGUCUCAUUAUAUGUCCUUAAAUAUACAUAUAGAUAUAUAUACAUGCAAUAUUAUAAUAGUUUUCUUUGACAUCAUUAUCUCCAAUAUAUGUAUAUGUUAUGUAAAUAUUUUAAUGUCAUAUUAUAUAUACAUUUUUACACUAUGCAUACAUACUUUUAACAUUAUAUUUUAUAUGUAUACUCUUAACAUCAUAUUAUAUAUAUCUUGCACAAAAUUUUUAAUACUUUACUAUAUAUAUACCUUUAUAUAUUAUAUGUAUAUUUUAGUAUUGUGUUUUUAUAUCUAUGUUUUAAUACCAUACUAUAUAUAUUAUUAUAUUUUAUUACAUAAUUAGUACCCAUGUUUUAUUAUACAUAUAUAUACUCUUUUAUUUGUGUUAUUUUCGUAUGUCAUAUUAUUCAUUUUUAUACUCAUUAUUUUCAUUAUUGCCACUUAUAUAUUAUUAUUUGGUGUACAUACAUCUUUUAUUAUUAUUAGUAUAUAAAUGUAUUUUCCUUGUCUAUAUUGUUCCUAAUAUAUAUUGCACAUGUUCAUUCAUACUAUGUGUACAUGUAUCUAGUAUAUAUAUAUUUAGUAUUAUUACACAUAUCUUUUAGGCAUUAUACUUUCAUGCGUCAUGUAUAUAUGUCAUGUAUUAUAUUUUUGCAUAUUAUCUUAUGUACAUAUUAUCUUAUAUUAUUAUUACUAAGUGUAUUUUAUAUUUGUUCAUGACUUGUUUAUUAUUACUAUUAUUUCUUUUGUAAAUAUCAUUGUUAUUGUUUUUCUAAUGCUCUAGUGUUCAUAUUAAUAUUUUUCAUUAAUAAUGUCAUUAUUUGCAUCGUUGAUUUACUUAAAAUUCUCACUUUAUAAAUAUCUUUCCCAUGUUUUAAUCAAUUUCAAUAAUCAAGGCAAUGUAUCGAUUUAACAUUAAGUCGUAAGUUUCAUCGCUAUGUUGGAUGAAAUUUAUCAGCUCGUGUUAAAAUGGUAUACCCUUCUCAAAAACUGAAAAAACUAAAACUAAAACUUCUCGUCUUUGCAAUCGAAUCACGACUAAAUGUUGCAUUGAAUUCGUAUUUUUGAAAAUCAAGACAACACAUGUUUAUACGAUACCAAUUUUGGGCGUCGUGAGGGUGCUAAUACCUUCCUCGCGCGUAACUGACUCCCGAACCCUAAUUUUUCACUGGAUUUUAACGUAGACGUAAACUCGGCCUUCUUUUGUUUAAAAAAUAGAUCUAAUAGGUGUCCGAUCACACCUAUAAAAAAGGGAUCGGUGGCGACUCCUUGUUUAUUCUAAAAUAAAAUUUCAGUUUCCAAGUUUUCAAUAGAUCGCCACAAUUAGCGACCCCAAACUAAAAAUUUUUACGUCGCUACAAUGUGUUUCAUGUUUCAAUGUUAAGGCGCUACCACUCUGAUCCCAUGCACAUCGUCCCCGUUAAGGAGAUUGAGGUUAGGCCAGAUCUGACCUUUAAGGAGGAACUGGUUUAGAUUUUGGAUCGCGACGUUAAGAUUUUGAGAAGGAAAUUUAUUCCACUGGUUAAGGUUCUUUGUCGUAAUUAUAACAUUGAGGAGGCUACAUGGGAGCCUGAGGAUACUAUGCGUCAGUGAUAUCCUCAUCUAUUCUAAUCAGGUAAAUUUCGAGGCCGAAAUUUUCUUUUAAGGGGUAGAGUUGUAAUGCCUAGAAAAUCUCAUAUUUAUGUCCUGUUAAAAUAUGACACAACUGUGCAUCUGCUUCAGUGGUUAAGUGUUCUAGCUGUGUAUGUGAGGUCCCUAGUUCAAGUCAUGGUUUGGGCAAAAAUUUGUUUUUCUUCUAAAUCAAGCCCUAUCUCUGGUCGUAGGUAAUUCCAUAAUAAAAUGGGCCUACUGGUCUGCAAGCUAGGGUGUGUGUUGGCAGGUAGGAGGUUUGGAGUUCAAGUCCUUGUGUGAACAAGGAUAUUAUUUUUUGUGUGAUCAAUUUUCCUAUUUCCCCAAAAUUUUCUUUUCUUUCUGACCUCAGAAUCCUUUCCUUACUUUCUCUCUACCGAAUUUUGCUUUUUGCUCCACCUCUUUGUUUAGUUUUUCUUUUGGUUUUCAGUCUGAUCAGUGAUUGAAGGCGUGUUUUGUAAGUAUAUUUUUGUCCCUAUUUUAUCGUUGCGUGGCUAGUUGUUUUAAAAGGAUUUUGGUUUGCUGUUGGUAAAUAUUUAGAGUACGUUUUUGAUCUUCUAACGGUUCAAUUAUUAAAUAUUUUGGUUUAGUGUUUGCUUGUAUUACUAAAGUUGGACCUUGGUAAUGUCAAUCAUAGGGUCUAGAAUACGAGAUUGUGUUUUGAGAGCGAAAACGAACCAGGUGUGUACUCGAAACUGUAAAAAAAUGAGGUUUUGACGAAAGCCAAAAACCAUUCUAUCGACGCCACAUGGGAGUGUGGUCACCCGUGUGGUAGGCCGUGUGAUAGAACAAGGGCGUGUGAUCGAGGAGCCAGGCUGCGCACAUUAGACACUGCCGUAUGAUGGCUAGGUGGGCCGUGUACGACACAAGAGCUUAACCAACUUGGGCCGUGUGAGCUACACGAGCGUGUGGGAAUUUGAGCCAGGCCGUGUGAUCACAUGGCCAAGGCCAAUCUCUGCCGUGUGGGCUACACGGGCAUGUGGGCCCAUACGGGCAAGCCAAAUGGGCGUGUAAGCCCAUUUUACUGAAAUGUUUCCUAAAGUUGCAUGGGUCGCCCAAGUCGAUUAUGAACCUGUUGUAGGGUCGGUAAGAACUACUUAGACCCCUAGCUGACUGAAAUGACUGUUUGGCUGACGUAUAUAUAUUUACAUGUUAUCGAGGAUGAUGAUAUUUAAUGAAUUGAUAUUGUAUGCACUGUUGCCAUGAUAUAGUAUAUUAUUAUUGUAUGUUGCAUUGCAUUGGGAUAGGGGUUGGUAUUGUUUGGAGGAAGUGUACUGAAAUGCCUCGGGCCUAAUUUACUGGCAGCUCAGCGCAAAUCACUGUUUAGUGCCGCAUUCAGUACUUUUGGGAGUGUAGUGAUGGGUGGGUUGAUUAUAUCCCCACAUGGAGUGUAGGGUUAGACGGAGAUGGUGUGUAGAGGCUGGCUGGGUAGGAUUUUGUGACUGCAUAUCUAUUAAUGCUACUGAUAUGUUGAUGGGCUAAGGCCCAAUUGCAUGACUAAUACUGUUACUGAAAAUGGCUUAGGCCCAUGCUGCAAUCUUGUGCAUAUUGUCUGUUUGUUUAUAUGGGGAUUACACACUGAAUUUACGUAAACUCACCUCUUUGGUUUAACCUAUCCAGGUAAUCCCCAGACUUGACGGAUCGGUGCAGCGGAGGACUCGAUGGUGGCACACGAUCUCUUGACACUGUUUCGCACUUAUUUAUGAUUUUAGGUUUUAUUUUGGUAUUUUAUUGUAAAUAUGGCCUCUAUGGAUUUUUAUUUUAGUUUGGGAUUUUUGUUGGUUUCGAUUUAUUACUGCUAGUAUUAGGAAAACUCAGGUUUUCAAAAGAAACAACGUUUCAACAAAAUACACACAAAUACGCAAAUUGUUUUAAAAGCUUCCACUUUGAAUAAACGUUUUGAAAACUUUCUACUGAUUAAAUAACACAAUUUUAGAGUUAAUAAGUAAUAAUGAAAAGUUUAUAAACGGAAAUUGUUUUAAGCAAAGUUACGUUUUUUUUAAAUACCCUACCAUGUGACAUCGCCUGAUCCGAUCAUAGUGUCCAAGCCGAGUUUGAGGUGUUACAAAUGUAACAUUUCCAUUAGAAUGAGUCUAAAAUAAGUUGUACUCUUUUCCUUUAACCAAUGUUUUUUCCCAUUGGAUUUUCCUGAUGAAGGUUUUUAAUGAGGCAGCUUGUAAUAGAAGACUGUGUACUCUUUUCCUUCAUUAGGUUUUUAUCCCACAGGGUUUUUCCUAAUAAGGUUUUAACGAGGCACAUUAUCUACCAAUGGGCAUCCAAGGGAGAGUGUUAUGAAUAUCUUAUUAAGUGGAUGUUCAUCAUGAUCAAGGUAAAGUUUUGGUAUACUUUAAAUUCUAAUAGUUAUUAGAAUUAGAUCUCUACUUCUUUUAUACUUCUUAUGCCUAUAAAUAGAGACUCUGAUGAAGACUGUAAUCAUCCCUUUGAUUAAUAAAGUACAUUCUUUAUUGCUUUCAUAUUUUUUUUAUUCUUUAUUCUCUCCAUCUUUCUUUAUUUUAUAACAAAUUUGAUUUUUUUUUAAAUUUAGUUAAUUUAUAUUUGUAAUUAAAUUUUUGUCUACAUAUAGCAACUAUUACUAAUUCAGCUUUAUUAUUGUCCAUUACAGUAAUGUUUUUUCUUCUAUUCACUUUAUUUAAACAUUUUAAUUAAAAUGUUUUUAGAAAAUUAGAAAUUAGACACUUCAAAUGACAUUAUUAGGUACAGUAAAUUUUUUUAUUAAAAUGUUUUUACUUUUUAUUUUACAUUGUUAGAUUUUAUUGUAUUUAUGAUUUAUAAGUUUGAUUUUUUAUAAUUACAUUAGCCACAUUGCCCCUAAUUUUUAUCAAAUACAAAAAGUUCAUUGAAUGAUAAGAAACUAAUUACAACUUCGAAUAUUUUAGGAAUACUUGUACAUUCUCUUUUAGCUCAAAUAAAGGAAUUGAUGUUUCAUUCUUAUCCUUAUGGAUAGGCUAAUAAAUAAAAAGAAAUAAAAAACAAUAUAUCAUUGAAAUUCUCAAUUUUUGAAGAGAUUUUUUUAUUUAUUUUACUUCGGAUGAGCCGAGACAAUAGGAUGAACAACAAGGGUUCUGUAUCGUGAACUUUGUAUCGCGCACAUCACUUAGAUGAACUCUAGAGAGUCGCAUAGAAGAGAAUGAAAAAAUGGAAUAGGAAAGGGGAUCGGAUUCUAUUUGUCCUGUAACUGAGAUGAGUCUUGGUUAUUUCUAUCCUUGAACUCCUCUAAAUCCGACUUUUUGUUGGGCAACAUGACAUAAUUAAAAAUUUAAAGUUUUCUCGCAUAUUAAUUUUUUUUCAUACAAAAAGUUUCAAAAAAAAAAAACAAGAUAACUUCUUAAAAAUAUACUUUAUUUAAGGUUUGUGUAAAAAUAAAAGACAAUUGUAAGCCUUACUAAACAUUUAGGCUAUUUUCAUCACUAAUUCUUCUAUUUAUUAUUUAUAAUAUAAAAACUUCCAAUUUAGACUAAUUAAAUAAGUAUAAUUCAAGGUUUCUGAAUUAUUAGAAUAAUUAGAACAGUGAUUUUUUCCUUCGUAUUAAUAAUUUAAUUUAGUUUAUUAGUUGAUAUUCUGAAGUUACUUUAAUAUAAUUUUAUAACUAUCAAUUCUUAAUAAUUUUCUUUCUUUUAAGAAAAUCUUUAUUUUAAUCUAUCAAAAUCAUGACCUCGUAUCGCUAUUCUAAUUAUUUGACGGAUUCUUGAAUAAAACUGGGUUCAGAUGAAUUUUUGACGGGUUUUUGAAUUUUCUAUCACCAAAUUUAUUGAGUCAAGAAUAAAAUAGAUGAAUAUAUUUAUAAGUUUUUUUAAAAAAAAGUCAAAGAAAUAAUAUUUAGCCAUUAUUUUUGGAUUUUUUUAAUUAAAAAUUGUCACCUGUCACAAAAUAAUUGGCCAAGAGAUUUUUUUUUUAACAACUGGGGUAAUUUGAGUAAUGCUGUACCAUUUUAUUGUUUAAAUCUUAAAAUUGUUAUUCAAAUUAUGAUGGUAAAGAUAAUUAUAUAAUUAUUUUUCUUACAUGAUGUCUAAAAACUAGUUAAAAUUUUGUGAAAGUUAAAAUACAUAAAUUAAUAAACUUUUUUUAAUGUUGAAUGUUUAAUAUAAAUGAAAUUAACAUAGAAAUACUUUUAACUCACAAAUAUCACAAUUCAAAUAUAUACAUUAUUUAAAAGUUAAACUUAACAUAUCAUUAAUAUAAAAACAAAACUCACCUAAACAUAUACGUGGCAGAUCCAACUACGGUGGAGGCAUGAGCUUGUCUUCAAGUUUUAAUUGUGGUAGAAGAGUUACGGUUCUAAAAACUGGUGGCUGAGGGGGAUUCUGAAAAAAGCAUAGUCACUAAAGGAGGAUAGAUCGAGCAUCGCCACUUUGAUUAGAGAAAUAAAGGAGAGAGAAAAGAGAUUUGAAUAGCUCAAUUUCAGAUCUGUACCUAGGUCGAUGAAUCGGGUGGCUCAUACUCUGGCAGAUGAAGGAAGGGCCUUGUCGUCUCUUAGGUAUUGGAUAGAAGAGGCAUCGACAAGGGUGGAGGAGGAAGUUGAUAGGGACCGAAGAGGUUUGUUGUGAAGGGACUGAAGGAAGAAAGUGGAUGGGGUAGAGGAAAUGGAAUCUUGGGGACUCCGACGGUUCAGAUCUACAAGGAUCCCUCGCAUUCUCAGUAAUUCAUCAAUCUGAUGGAAGCAAGACGAGGGAUUUCUAAUGUUACUCUGACUAAUGAACGAGUUCAUGAAGAAGAAGGUUGCGAUUUGGUUAGGAGUGUCGAUUCAGGUUUUAGGAUUUUUCUUUCUGAUUUUUGUUUUACUUUAGCUAUUUCCUUUAUUUUCUUUAAGUAGGGGCAACCACUGUUUGCGUUAACCAGUAGAAGAGUGACAAUUGUAAUACAUACACUCUAAACCUUUUUGUGAAAUGAAAUUCGUUAGUUUUUAUGUAAAAAAAAC